Molecule: long non-coding RNA, 507 nt
Organism: Scleropages formosus (Asian bonytongue)
Lineage: Eukaryota; Metazoa; Chordata; Actinopteri; Osteoglossiformes; Osteoglossidae
Source: Ensembl
UUGCGCCACCUCUCCCCCACAAGUAGACACCCUAUAGGCAAACGCAUGCAUAUAUUACCCUUUUUUUUUUUUUUUUACACACCUCCCAGCAAUGCAGCCGUCACCAGCAUCGCACAGACUGGCACUGGAACACACGUUGAAGGAGGCAGAGAAGGCAGCUCUAGACAAACAGGGAUUACAAUCUCUGCUGGUGAAGAAACUGACACGGACUACAAAAGCCUCCAGGUGCAGCAACAGAAACAGGGGGCAAUGCAGCCGUCACCAGCAUCGCACAGACUGGCACUGGAACACACGUUGAAGAAGGCAGAGAAGGCGGCUCUAGACAAACAGGGAUUACAAUCUCUGCUGGUGAAGAAACUGACACGGACUACAAAAGCCUCCAGGUGCAGCAACAGAGACAGGGGGGGUUAAGACUGAGCUUCAUCUAUACCGGGCAACUUUCUGUAUUGUCUUUCAGUGUUGAUGUGAUUGUGUAUGUUGUUGUCUCUACCACUCCGAAUAGUUGAG